UGAUGUGUCGAUGGAGAGCGUGAUACACCGGAUCCCAUCCCGAACUCCGAAGUUAAGCCGCUCGUCGCCGAUGGUACUGCAUGGGAAGCUAUGUGGAAGAGUAGGUAGAUGCAUCUU
RNAcentral lists this ribosomal RNA (117 nucleotides) under Bradymonadales bacterium. Lineage: Bacteria; Deltaproteobacteria; Bradymonadales. The record is from RNAcentral.